Molecule: ribosomal RNA, 253 nt
Filed under: uncultured bacterium
Lineage: Bacteria
Description: partial 16S ribosomal RNA
Rfam family: Bacterial small subunit ribosomal RNA
Source: RNAcentral
UACGACGGGGGCUAGCGUUGCUCGGAAUCACUGGGCGUACAGCGCACGUAGGCGGAUUGCUAAGUCAGGGGUGAAAUCCUGGAGCUCAACUCCAGAACUGCCUUUGAUACUGGCGACCUUGAGUCCGGGAGAGGUGAGUGGAACUGCGAGUGUAGAGGUGAAAUUCGUAGAUAUUCGCAAGAACACCAGUGGCGAAGGCGGCUCACUGGCCCGGUACUGACGCUGAGGUGCGAAAGCGUGGGGAGCAAACAGG